AGAGUUUGAUCAUGGCUCAGAGCGAACGCUGGCGGCAGGCUUAACACAUGCAAGUCGAGCGGGCGUAGCAAUACGUCAGCGGCAGACGGGUGAGUAACGCGUGGGAACAUACCUUUUGGUUCGGAACAACCCAGGGAAACUUGGGCUAAUACCGGAUAAGCCCUUACGGGGAAAGAUUUAUCGCCGAAAGAUUGGCCCGCGUCUGAUUAGCUAGUUGGUGAGGUAACGGCUCACCAAGGCGACGAUCAGUAGCUGGUCUGAGAGGAUGAUCAGCCACAUUGGGACUGAGACACGGCCCAAACUCCUACGGGAGGCAGCAGUGGGGAAUAUUGGACAAUGGGGGCAACCCUGAUCCAGCCAUGCCGCGUGAGUGAUGAAGGCCCUAGGGUUGUAAAGCUCUUUUGUGCGGGAAGAUAAUGACGGUACCGCAAGAAUAAGCCCCGGCUAACUUCGUGCCAGCAGCCGCGGUAAUACGAAGGGGGCUAGCGUUGCUCGGAAUCACUGGGCGUAAAGGGUGCGUAGGCGGGUCUUUAAGUCAGGGGUGAAAUCCUGGAGCUCAACUCCAGAACUGCCUUUGAUACUGAGGAUCUUGAGUCCGGGAGAGGUGAGUGGAACUGCGAGUGUAGAGGUGAAAUUCGUAGAUAUUCGCAAGAACACCAGUGGCGAAGGCGGCUCACUGGCCCGGUACUGACGCUGAGGCACGAAAGCGUGGGGAGCAAACAGGAUUAGAUACCCUAGUAGUCC
This 744-nucleotide ribosomal RNA is filed under the name uncultured bacterium. RNAcentral's name for it is "bacterial SSU rRNA". It matches the Rfam family "Bacterial small subunit ribosomal RNA", at positions 8 to 796 of the family's 1533-position model. The record is from RNAcentral.